RNAcentral lists this ribosomal RNA (499 nucleotides) under uncultured bacterium. RNAcentral describes it as "partial 16S ribosomal RNA". It matches the Rfam family "Bacterial small subunit ribosomal RNA", at positions 30 to 522 of the family's 1533-position model. The record is from RNAcentral.
AUUGAACGCUGGCGGCAUGCCUUACACAUGCAAGUCGAACGGCAGCACGGGAGCAAUCCUGGUGGCGAGUGGCGAACGGGUGAGUAAAGUAUCGGAACGUGCCCAGUCGUGGGGGAUAACGUAGCGAAAGUUACGCUAAUACCGCAUACGAUCUAUGGAUGAAAGCGGGGGAUCGCAAGACCUCGCGCGAUUGGAGCGGCCGAUAUCAGAUUAGGUAGUUGGUGGGGUAAAGGCUCACCAAGCCGACGAUCUGUAGCUGGUCUGAGAGGACGACCAGCCACACUGGGACUGAGACACGGCCCAGACUCCUACGGGAGGCAGCAGUGGGGAAUUUUGGACAAUGGGCGAAAGCCUGAUCCAGCCAUGCCGCGUGCAGGAUGAAGGCCUUCGGGUUGUAAACUGCUUUUGUACGGAACGAAAAGGUUUGGCCUAAUAAGCUGAGCUCAUGACGGUACCGUAAGAAUAAGCACUGGCUAACUACGUGCCAGCCGCCGCCUAA